GACGAACGCUGGCGGCGUGCUUAACACAUGCAAGUCGAACGGAAAGGCCCUGCUUUUGUGGGGUGCUCGAGUGGCGAACGGGUGAGUAACACGUGAGUAACCUGCCCUUGACUUUGGGAUAACUUCAGGAAACUGGGGCUAAUACCGGAUAGGAGCUCCUGCUGCAUGGUGGGGGUUGGAAAGUUUCGGCGGUUGGGGAUGGACUCGCGGCUUAUCAGCUUGUUGGUGGGGUAGUGGCUUACCAAGGCUUUGACGGGUAGCCGGCCUGGGAGGGUGACCGGCCACAUUGGGACUGAGAUACGGCCCAGACUGCUACGGGAGGCAGCAGUGGGGAAUAUUGCACAAUGGGCGGAAGCCUGAGGCAGCAACGCCGCGUGCGGGAUGACGGCCUUCGGGUUGUAAACCGCUUUCGCCUGUGACGAAGCGUGAGUGACGGUAAUGGGUAAAGAAGCACCGGCUAACUACGUG
RNAcentral lists this ribosomal RNA (468 nucleotides) under uncultured bacterium. RNAcentral describes it as "partial 16S ribosomal RNA". It matches the Rfam family "Bacterial small subunit ribosomal RNA", at positions 28 to 507 of the family's 1533-position model. The record is from RNAcentral.